This 253-nucleotide ribosomal RNA is filed under the name uncultured bacterium. Its description in RNAcentral is "partial 16S ribosomal RNA". It matches the Rfam family "Bacterial small subunit ribosomal RNA", at positions 524 to 776 of the family's 1533-position model. The record is from RNAcentral.
UACGUAGGGUGCAAGCGUUGUCCGGAAUUAUUGGGCGUAAAGAGCUCGUAGGCGGUUUGUCGCGUCUGCUGUGAAAACCCGAGGCUCAACCUCGGGCCUGCAGUCGAUACGGGCAAACUAGAGUACUGCAGGGGAGACUGGAAUUCCUGGUGUAGCGGUGAAAUGCGUAGAGAUCAGGAAGAACACCAGUGGCGAAGGCGCUCUGCUAGGCCGUAACUGACGCUGAGGGACGAAAGCGAGGGGAGCGAAUGGG